Molecule: long non-coding RNA, 2432 nt
Organism: Capsicum annuum
Lineage: Eukaryota; Viridiplantae; Streptophyta; Magnoliopsida; Solanales; Solanaceae
Exons: 2
Source: RefSeq, a predicted model, not a curated record
CCACCAUUCAGCUAGUGGUAACCACUGUGGCCACUCCUUGGGUUUCUCAAAAGUCAUGCACCUGAGGUAACACUGAUACAAGUACGACCACGAGGAUGGGCGUGUAAAAGUGUAAUGAACCCAAGGCUUGGAGUGUGCAAGAAAAAUGCAAAAGAGGGCCUUAAACACACACCAAAACCAAACCUACACUACACUCCAUGGGCAAUAUUUUGAGGCUUUUCAUUAAAGGGCCUUUUGGUCAUUUUGUAUUCUAUUUAUAACCUAGUAUAAAUAGAACAUUGUAGAUCAUUUUGUCUUAGAUUUUGCUGAAUAUGAUGAGUGUAUAACACUUGAAAUAUUUCCUCUCUAAGGAGAGAAGACUACCAAUCCGAAACUAGGGUGAUACAAGUGUGGAUUUCACUUGUGUUGCAUUCAAGGCUUGGAAACGAAGGUGCUUGAGGAUAUUGACGUCCCUCUUGUGUCCACGUCCCAUGGAUGACGGUACUUUCAAGGCUGCCCUUGAAGAUGUCCACCGGAACUUUGAAAGACUACAUUACAUACUUGACUCCCCGAAUUCAAAACCAUUAAUCCAACCUCCACUUGACCAAGGAACAACGACCCGUCUUGAAACUAUCCUCCGUGAUUGUGAAAGAUGAGAAAGGGAAUGGAUGCCAUACAAACCACUAUAUCAAAUGCUCCCUUGUGAUGAGAGCUUGUCAAAGGUACAAGCGGAAUGCCAUGACACACAUCAAAGUGAAGACCAUAACUCAUACGAGUUACAAGGUAAAAAUCCUAAUCCCCACACUCUUACAAACUUAGAAUAUUGUGAUGUGGCUAGUAGUAGCCAAAUGAGAGUGGUUUCGGGUUUGCAUAGAUUAUAAGUACACGAGUCUUUCUUUUGUGAUACUCUUGGUAUUGUUAGGAUGCAUGACAACUAACUUCUUAUUGUAAGUAAGCAAGCACUAGUUGAUCCUUUAGAUGACAAAAUUAAUUCUUCUCGUAAGAAUGAUUUAUGUCCAUCUAGAGCUUACACUUAUGAAUUGAAUAAGGUUCCAUUGCUAUGUAAUAAGAGUAUUCACACACUAGUUGACCCUUGUGAAAUUCAAGGUGAGUCUAAGUUGGUAUGUGAGUUGCCAACAACUAGUGAGGAUGUGAAAAAUGAUCAAUCGGGUGACGAUGACCUUGACGUGCUUGAAUGUCUAGACAACCCGAUUAGUAUUUGUUCUUGUGAAGUUGGUUUUGAUUUUGCUCCCUUUUCUGUCUAUAGUGGUUUAUGUAUAUUUAGGGACUACUCUCUUGAAAGAGAAAGUGUUGCAUGCCGAUAAAUGCUAUCUACUCCUUCUUCGUGUGUUUCCUACGUUGGGCUUGCUAAUAAAAAUGAACUUGAAAUUAGUAAGUACUUUCAUGAGGACUCCAUAGUUAGAGUUGACUCAUGUGACACCUUUCCCUACCCUCUUUGUGCUCAUGAUAUUUUCCAUAGUGAUAUAGAGGGUAUGCCUAAUUUUGAGGGCGACACCGUAGGGGAAAGUAAGUAUGGUCGAAAACCAUGGCCAUGGAUACUUCUCCCGUUUGAUCCGGUACCAUCUUAGGGUGGGAAAUGAUUACCUCGGCCUAUUUUCCUUUUGUCUUAAUGCUUGCCCGAGCCACCUCCUGUGUAGCAUUUGUACUAAUCUUUCAUGAUUAAAACAAAGAACCCGUGGCUAUACUUUAAGUUUGUUCUGCCUCGUCAUGGCUUGUUGAUGUGUUAUUUUUGCUAACCUUAAUCCCUCAUAUCAUGAGGAUGUGUGCUUGUUUGUCUUCUCUUUAUUUUGCAAGGUAUGGAUUCGAGGUCGAAUCCUUUUCAAUAAGGGGAGAAUGAUACAAGUACGACCACGAGAAUAGAUGUGUGAAAGUGUAAUGAACCCGAGGCUUGGAGUGUGCAAGAAAAAUUCAAAAGAGGGCCUAAAACACACACCAAAACCGAACCUACACUAUACUCUAUGGGCAACAUUUUGAGGCUUUUCAUUAAAGGGCAUUUUGGCCAUUUUGUAUUCUAUUUAUAACCUAGUAUAAAUAGAAUAUUGUAGGUCAUUUUGUCUUAGAUUUUUCUAAAUAUGAUGAGUGUAUAACACUUGAAACAUUUCCUCUCUAAGGAGAGAAGACCACCAAUCCAAAACUAGGGUGAUACAAGUGUGGAUUUCACUUGUGUUGCAUUCAAAGCUUGGAAACGAAGGUGCUUGGGGAGAUUGACGUCCCUCUUGUGGUCCACGUAUGAGUGUCCGUAUUGUUAUUACAUGUAUUAGUGGUCUUAGUGUUGGAUAUACACUUAGGUUCUUAGUUAUUGUAGUAAUCUAUGUCACACUACCUAUCUUUACAUUUUGUUGUUGCCAUCUUGUUAUUGUUGUGUAGUGGACUGUUUUGGGUCCUUUGUUGAAUCUGGAAAUUUGUGUUAUUGUUGUUCAUAUUGUUCUUCA